UUUUGCUUCACAAAAAGAAAUCAAUGCUGCAAAGCGUUGCUGGGGCAGAAUUCCUUCAUCUUUGAGGCACAAUGUACUUUGCAGUUAUUAUGAGUCCAUCCAUCAAGCUGAUAUCCUGCUUGCUGACUGUUUGCACCACCCUAUUCUUCAUUUUUCAUCUUUCCACUGUCCAUCUUCUACUGCAAACUCCCCUGACCAGCCCAAUCUUAUUGAAACGUGCCCAAUGAACUACAGCUAACAUGGAACUAUCUGAAUCACAGAGAACAUAUGGAU
Molecule: long non-coding RNA, 273 nt
Organism: Nothoprocta perdicaria
Lineage: Eukaryota; Metazoa; Chordata; Aves; Tinamiformes; Tinamidae
Exons: 2
Source: RefSeq, a predicted model, not a curated record